UGAGCAUGGACCGUACAGGGGCUCCAUGUGCAAGAAACUACCCGUGUGUAAAACGAAGAUUGGCUUUAAAAGGCAACUGUGAUGGGAACAGUGUCUUAGGGAGAUGCAGCUUGGACUUGAGGUAAAUUGAAUGCUUUACAAAAAUGUGGUUUUGAGCUUGCAUUGACAUUGUAUGUAAUAUGGGUACACAUUAACUGUAUGAUGGCUUUUGUAUGGUUUUUUUUUCUCAAUAAAUGUAAACUGAUGGAUAAUAA
Molecule: long non-coding RNA, 254 nt
Organism: Empidonax traillii (willow flycatcher)
Lineage: Eukaryota; Metazoa; Chordata; Aves; Passeriformes; Tyrannidae
Exons: 2
Source: RefSeq, a predicted model, not a curated record